GACGAACGCUGGCGGCGUGCUUAACACAUGCAAGUCGAACGAUGAACCACUUCGGUGGGGAUUAGUGGCGAACGGGUGAGUAACACGUGGGCAAUCUGCCCUUCACUCUGGGACAAGCCCUGGAAACGGGGUCUAAUACCGGAUACCACUCGCGCAGGCAUCUGUGCGGGUUGAAAGCUCCGGCGGUGAAGGAUGACCCCGCGGCCUAUCAUCUUGUUGGUGAGGUAACGGCUCACCAAGGCGACCACGGGUAGCCGGCCUGAGAGGGCGACCGGCCACACUGGGACUGACACACGGCCCACACUCCUACGGGAGGCAGCAGUGGGGAAUAUUGCACAAUGGGCGAAAGCCUGAUGCAGCCACCCCGCGUGAGGGAUGACGGCCUUCGGGUUGUAAACCUCUUUCAGCAGGGAAGAAGCGAAAGUGACGGUACCUGCAGAAGAAGCGCCGGCUAACUACGUGCCAGCAGCCGCGGUAAUACAUAGGGCGCACGCGUUGUCCGGAAUUAUUGGGCGUAAAGAGCUCGUACGCGGCUUGUCACGUCGGGUGUGAAAGCCCGGGGCUUAACCCCGGGUCUGCAUUCUAUACGGGCUAGAUAGAGUGUGGUAGGGGAGAUCGGAAUUUCUGGUGUAGCGGUGAAAUGCGCAUAUAUCAGGAGGAACACCGGUGGCGAAGGCAGAUCUCUGGGCCCAUUACUGACGCUGAGGAGCGAAAGCGUGGGGAGCGAACAGGAUUAGAUACCCGUGGUAGUCCACGCCGUAAACGGUGGGAACUAGGUGUUGGCGACAUUCCACGUGGUCGGUGCCGCAGCUAACGCAUUAAGUUCCCCGCCUGGGGAGUACGGCCGCAAGGCUAAAACUCAAAGGAAUUGACGGGGGCCCGCACAAGCAGCGGAGCAUGUGGCUUAAUUUGACGCAACGCGAAGAACCUUACCAAGGCUUGACAUACACCGGAAACGGCCAGAGAUGGUCGCCCCCUUGUGGUCGGUGUACAGGUGGUGCAUGGCUGUCGUCAGCUCGUGUCGUGAGAUGUUGGGUUAAGUCCCGCAACGAGCGCAACCCUUGUCCUGUGUUGCCAGCAUGCCCUUUGGGGUGAUGGGGACUCACAGGAGACCCCCGGGGUCAACUCGGAGGAAGGUGGGGAGGACGUCAAGUCAUCAUGCCCCUUAUGUCUUGGGCUGCACACGUGCUACAAUGGCAGGUACAAUGAGCUGCGAAACCGUGAGGUGGAGCGAAUCUCAAAAAGCCUGUCUCAGUUCGGAUUGGGGUCUGCAACUCGACCCCAUGAAGUCGGAGUUGCUAGUAAUCGCAGAUCAGCAUUCAUGCGGUGAAUACGUUCCCGGCCCUUGUCCAC
Molecule: ribosomal RNA, 1353 nt
Filed under: uncultured bacterium
Lineage: Bacteria
Description: bacterial SSU rRNA
Rfam family: Bacterial small subunit ribosomal RNA
Source: RNAcentral